GUAGGGAAUAUUGGGCAAUGGGAGCAAUCCUGACCCAGCCAUGCCGCGUGCAGGAUGAAGGCUUUCUGAGUCGUAAACUGCUUUUGCCAGGGAAGAAUAAGGGGCAUGCGUGCUCCGACGACGGUACCUGGUGAAUAAGCACCGGCUAACUCCGUGCCAGCAGCCGCGGUAAUACGGAGGGUGCAAGCGUUGUCCGGAUUUAUUGGGUUUAAAGGGUGCGUAGGCGGCUGUUUAAGUCUGGGGUGAAAGCCCGUUGCUCAACAACGGAACUGCCCUGGAAACUGGAUAGCUUGAGUACAGACGAGGUUGGCGGAAUGGAUGCUGUAGCGGUGAAAUGCAUAGAUAGCAUCCAGAACCCCGAUUGCGAAGGCAGCUGACUAGGCUGUAACUGACGCUGAGGCACGAAAGCGUGGGGAGCGAACAGGAUUAGAAACCCUAGUAGUCC
Molecule: ribosomal RNA, 445 nt
Filed under: uncultured bacterium
Lineage: Bacteria
Description: bacterial SSU rRNA
Rfam family: Bacterial small subunit ribosomal RNA
Source: RNAcentral